This 72-nucleotide transfer RNA is filed under the name Ictidomys tridecemlineatus (thirteen-lined ground squirrel). RNAcentral describes it as "Spermophilus tridecemlineatus (thirteen-lined ground squirrel) tRNA". It matches the Rfam family "tRNA". From Rfam's summary of the family: Transfer RNA (tRNA) molecules are approximately 80 nucleotides in length. Their secondary structure includes four short double-helical elements and three loops (D, anti-codon, and T loops). Further hydrogen bonds mediate the characteristic L-shaped molecular structure. tRNAs have two regions of fundamental functional importance: the anti-codon, which is responsible for specific mRNA codon recognition, and the 3' end, to which the tRNAs corresponding amino acid is attached (by aminoacyl-tRNA synthetases). tRNAs cope with the degeneracy of the genetic code in two manners: having more than one tRNA (with a specific anti-codon) for a particular amino acid; and 'wobble' base-pairing, i.e. permitting non-standard base-pairing at the 3rd anti-codon position. Lineage: Eukaryota; Metazoa; Chordata; Mammalia; Rodentia; Sciuridae. The record is from Rfam by way of RNAcentral.
UGGGCUGUAGCUCAAUGGUAGAGUGCUUGCUUUGCAAGCAUGAGGCACUGGGUUCGAUCCUUAGCACCACGU